GAUGAACGCUGGCGGCGUGCCUAAUACAUGCAAGUCGAGCGAACGGACGAGAAGCUUGCUUCUCUGAUGUUAGCGGCGGACGGGUGAGUAACACGUGGAUAACCUACCUAUAAGACUGGGAUAACUUCGGGAAACCGGAGCUAAUACCGGAUAAUAUUUUGAACCGCAUGGUUCAAAAGUGAAAGACGGUCUUGCUGUCACUUAUAGAUGGAUCCGCGCUGCAUUAGCUAGUUGGUAAGGUAACGGCUUACCAAGGCAACGAUGCAUAGCCGACCUGAGAGGGUGAUCGGCCACACUGGAACUGAGACACGGUCCAGACUCCUACGGGAGGCAGCAGUAGGGAAUCUUCCGCAAUGGGCGAAAGCCUGACGGAGCAACGCCGCGUGAGUGAUGAAGGUCUUCGGAUCGUAAAACUCUGUUAUUAGGGAAGAACAUAUGUGUAAGUAACUGUGCACAUCUUGACGGUACCUAAUCAGAAAGCCACGGCUAACUACGUGCCAGCAGCCGCGGUAAUACGUANGUGGGCAGCGUUAUCCGGAAUUUAUGGGCGUAAAGCGCGCGUAGCGGUUUUUUAAGUCUGAUGUGAAAGCCCACGGCUCAACCGUGGAGGGUCAUUGGAAACUGGAAAACUUGAGUGCAGAAGAGGAAAGUGGAAUUCCAUGUGUAGCGGUGAAAUGCGCAGAGAUAUGGAGGAACACCAGUGGCGAAGGCGACUUUCUGGUCUGUAACUGACGCUGAUGUGCGAAAGCGUGGGGAUCAAACAGGAUUAGAUACCCUGGUAGUCCACGCCGUAAACGAUGAGUGCUAAGUGUUAGGGGGUUUCCGCCCCUUAGUGCUGCAGCUAACGCAUUAAGCACUCCGCCUGGGGAGUACGACCGCAAGGUUGAAACUCAAAGGAAUUGACGGGGACCCGCACAAGCGGUGGAGCAUGUGGUUUAAUUCGAAGCAACGCGAAGAACCUUACCAAAUCUUGACAUCCUUUGACAACUCUAGAGAUAGAGCCUUCCCCUUCGGGGGACAAAGUGACAGGUGGUGCAUGGUUGUCGUCAGCUCGUGUCGUGAGAUGUUGGGUUAAGUCCCGCAACGAGCGCAACCCUUAAGCUUAGUUGCCAUCAUUAAGUUGGGCACUCUAAGUUGACUGCCGGUGACAAACCGGAGGAAGGUGGGGAUGACGUCAAAUCAUCAUGCCCCUUAUGAUUUGGGCUACACACGUGCUACAAUGGACAAUACAACGGGCAGCGAAACCGCGAGGUCAAGCAAAUCCCAUAAAGUUGUUCUCAGUUCGGAUUGUAGUCUGCAACUCGACUACAUGAAGCUGGAAUCGCUAGUAAUCGUAGAUCAGCAUGCUACGGUGAAUACGUUCCCGGGUCU
Molecule: ribosomal RNA, 1371 nt
Filed under: uncultured bacterium
Lineage: Bacteria
Description: bacterial SSU rRNA
Rfam family: Bacterial small subunit ribosomal RNA
Source: RNAcentral